This 1305-nucleotide long non-coding RNA is filed under the name Mytilus galloprovincialis (Mediterranean mussel). Lineage: Eukaryota; Metazoa; Mollusca; Bivalvia; Mytilida; Mytilidae. The record is from RNAcentral.
AUUGAAAUUAACUUUUAUUGUAUUCAUAUCAUACAGUAGUUCUAAUUAUAAACUUAUAUAAAAAUAAUGAAUAUUCAGAUAACAUAACAACUGAGUAUUACAUGUAACAAAACAUGUGUAAAAAUUAAAAUAAUGCCGUCUGAUAUUGUAUGUUUCUGUGGAAUACAAAUAAAAGAUAUGCCCUGCUCAAACAGUCCAUGUUUGAAAAUCUGCAAAGUCUAGGUCAAAUUUAUUUUAAAACUUAUAUCAAAACAAACAUGUGUAUUGAAUUUCUAGUUCAUGUGAGCAUAACUUCAUGGUAAAAUAACUUGAACUAUAACUAUUACCUAAAAAAAAAUUGUAAGGGUUCUGCAGAACCCAGUGUCUCGACUACUUUAUGAAUCUAACAAAUGUUUUAAUAACUACAACUGCAGACUGUAAGUUAUGUUAACUGGAAGAAGAAGUCAAUUUAUAUAAAGUAACAUACAAAAAAACAUAAAAUAUAUUUUUACAAAAUUUCCUUCUAGACACUAGCUUUUGAUCACAAAACAAGUUUCUGUUGUGUUUGGUAGAAAUCCAUGAUAGUUUCAGAAAAUUAUUAAAAUUUAAAAAAACUUUAACCACAGAGUGAAUAUUUGUGGACGCCACGGACGACAGAAUGUAGUAACCCUAUGUCUCGCUUUUUCGACAAAAGUCAAAGGCUCGGCAGCAACAUAGAACAGGAAAGAAAUAUAGAUUCCACCACUCAACAAGUGUAUUCAAUAAACGUAUUUACACGUUUGGUAUAAAGAUAUAUUUUGCCUCCGAAUGACCUUAUAUCACCUCCGAAUAACCUUUUGACGUCAAGCAACAAUCACUUUUUAGUUAUGACGUCAAAUGUUUUGAAUUAUGAUGUCAAAGUUUACGGGAACCUGUGUGAUUAUAUGUAAUGGCCGACAAAUUUGCAUACAAGUGUAAAUACGUCUAUAUUUCUCCACUCUCAACAGUGAAAUUUUAAUAUUUAAAGCGUGAGGCUUGCUGAGUUAAUCAAAAUUUAACUGUUGUGAGUGGAGAAAUAUUGUAAUACAAGAGUUAGAGCGGUAGAAUCUGUUUCUCUAAUGAUUUUUAGAAAGUUGUGUUCUAUAUAAGUGAUGUCAUCAGGCAUGGUCAUCUUUUUUUAAAUAUCCAUUGUCACGAGAGGAAAUUCAGGAAAAAAAAUGAUGUCAUAAUUAAAUUUUGACCAAUCAUUUGCUAGUGAGGAGAACAAUUUUUUGCACAAUUUGUUGGGAAAUGUGAAAAUAGAGAAAAUGAGCUCUACAAUUAAGGCAGGGUAGAUGCAAUACAAAC